This 596-nucleotide long non-coding RNA is filed under the name Rattus norvegicus (Norway rat). RNAcentral's name for it is "long non-coding RNA NONRATT024073". Lineage: Eukaryota; Metazoa; Chordata; Mammalia; Rodentia; Muridae. The record is from RNAcentral.
GGGGGCUCCAUGAAUGGAAGCGGCGGCGGCGGCGGGAGCGACCUGAGCUGGGCUCUGGGGCCAGGGCCAGGGGCUGCCCAGGGCCCGCACCGGUGUAUGGGGGCGGCUCGUGGACCCUAAGAGCAAGGACCGACGGCUGGGCCGAUCUGGGAGGGGCGGGGCCGGGCGGCCUCGGGCCGGAGGCGCGUCGGGCUGGAGCCGGUCACGAUGCCCCGAAGGAAGCAAAGCCAUCCACAGCCCGUGAAAUGCGAGGGGGUCAAAGUGGAUACUGAAGAUUCCUUCGACGAAGGACCUGGGGCUCUGGUGUUGGAGAGUGAUUUGCUACUAGGCCAAGAUCUGGAGUUCGAAGAGGAAGAGGAAGAGGAGGAAGGUGACGGCCACAACGACCAGCUCAUGGGCUUUGAGAGAGACUCUGAAGGUGUGUUUAAGGGUCGUGGUUAAGGAUAAGAGGCUUUUGGUAACUCAAGCCCUUUAGAAGGCGGUGUUAGCGACCAAAACACCACUUCUUUUUACAACCUAGCAGCAGCAUUUUGGUGAGUUGAAGUUCUGGGUCCGGGCUAAAGGUGGUGUGAAUACAAGGGUGGGUAGCCACAUUU